CUAGCAACCGGAAUGCGUGCCGGAGACGCCGGUCCAAUCGCUAACGAGCUCGCAAAGACUGUGGGCGGGGUUUUCUCUUCGGCGGAGCCAAUCGCGAGUCCGCCCGCGGGACAAGGCCCACGCGCCGCACGUGAGGCUUCCGCACCCGGGGGGAGCGCUCCCGAGGCCUGCAACCGAGGAGGUGCUCAGUAAGCGUCUGUUGAGGGCACGGAAUAAAGGCGUGGUCACCUUCAUUUAUCCCAGCACCCCCAGGCGAUGGGGAGGAGUCUUGUGCCCAUUUUUAAUAAACGAGGAAAUCAAGCAUAGAACGAUUAAGUGAUUUGCCAAAAAUCAUCAGGCUAACUAGUGGCGUGGCCCUUGAGAUGGACUGUUCCAUUUGGAAGUCAAGGUUGUUGCCACCUAAGUGGAUUCCUGCUGCGAGGAAGUUCCUCAUCCUUUCAUUUGCAGGAACCAAGGGCUCCAGAAAUUGUAAAAGUUUCCCUUUAAGUUAGCAUGGGAACGUAGAACAAUACCACUGUGUGGAACCCCUCUCCAGAUCUGUGGGCCAAUGAAAUGUCCUUAUGUAAGUGAAGGAUCAACUUCAGUGCCCAGCAUGGAGAAGUGCCUAAUGUUUCUCUUCCCUCUUCUUCAAUUAUCUAAUUUUAUUUAUUUAUUCAUGAGAGACACAGAGAGAGAGAGAAG
This is a long non-coding RNA of Canis lupus familiaris (dog), 681 nucleotides long. RefSeq lists it as uncharacterized. The record is from RefSeq and is a predicted model, not a curated record. NCBI's taxonomy places the organism in Eukaryota, Metazoa, Chordata, Mammalia, Carnivora, Canidae. The transcript is spliced from 5 exons.